CCUACGGGUGGCAGCAGUGGGGAAUAUUGCACAAUGGUGGAAACACUGAUCCAGCGACGCCGCGUGAGUGAAGAAGGAAUUCGUUACGUAAAGCUCUAUCAGCAGGGAAGAAAAGGACGGUACCUGUGUAAGAAGCCCCGGCCAACUACGUGACAGCAGCCGCGGUAAUACGGAGGGGGCAAGCGUAAUCCGGAUUAACUGGGUGUAAAGGGGGCGUAGACGGUUCGCCAAGUCCGGAGUGAAAUGGCGCGGCUUAACUUCGGAGCUGCUUUGGAAACUGGCGGACUAGAGUGCGGGAGGGGUAAGCGGAAUUCCUGGUGUAGCGGUGAAAUGCGUAGAUAUUGGGAGGAACACCGGUGGCGAAGGCGGCUUACUGGAUCGUAACUGACGUUGAGGCUCGAAAGCGUGGGUAGCAAACAGGAUUAGAUACCCGGGUAGUC
This 440-nucleotide ribosomal RNA is filed under the name uncultured bacterium. RNAcentral describes it as "partial 16S ribosomal RNA". It matches the Rfam family "Bacterial small subunit ribosomal RNA", at positions 338 to 795 of the family's 1533-position model. The record is from RNAcentral.